GGGGGUGUACUGGUUUCGACGGGGUCGUUGACACACGGACUGCGAGCAGAGGAUUCUCGUUGGCCUCUAUAAAAAACGGGAAAUUAAAAUUAAACGCAAGAAAUAAUACUUCUUUGCAGGCUGCUUAAUGCAGCCGCGUUGACCCGGCGGUCACCCGUGCCGCCGGCAAUCAGCGUCAUCAAGUCGGGCCCGCCUGCGCGGCGGUCAGCGCAGGGUACGGAGCCGCUUAAGCUUUGCGGCGGUUCGGCAUUUAUGAAGCUACCGGUUGUACGUUUUCGGCCGUCUGAAUUUACAAUCGGGAAUUUGAUCGGCGGCAUAUGCUCGUAGACGUUCGCGGGAAUACGGUUUCGGACAGGGGUUCGACUCCCCUCACCUCCACCA
RNAcentral lists this transfer-messenger RNA (381 nucleotides) under Clostridia. RNAcentral describes it as "Egerieisoma sp900543695 Standard tmRNA". It matches the Rfam family "transfer-messenger RNA". From Rfam's summary of the family: Bacterial tmRNA, also known as 10Sa RNA or SsrA, is named for its dual tRNA and mRNA-like properties. Lineage: Bacteria; Bacillati; Bacillota. The record is from RNAcentral. RNAcentral also lists the same sequence under 3 other names.